This is a non-coding RNA of Paramuricea clavata, 206 nucleotides long. The record is from the annotation of a GenBank genome assembly. Lineage: Eukaryota; Metazoa; Cnidaria; Anthozoa; Malacalcyonacea; Plexauridae.
AUGUAGGUGCGGUCGUAGACGUCUGUGGGAGUGGCCGAUAUACGAAUUUUGGAUGCGACUCCACAGUUCGGUGACUUUCGUAAUAUCAUCAAUCGCUCGAUUAUAUCGUCAAGACCAGACAUUGUACUACAAUGCGGUGCUCUGAAGCAUGCGCAAAACAAGUGCACCACAAGCACGAUGACAUACUAUUUAUGAAGAGCCCUCUG